AUGAAUAAGUACUAGCCUUGCCAAACUUCUGAAUUGCCAUUCUCAUGGCGGGUUGUCUUGAAAUGAAUGUUCCGCUAUUAUCUGUGGUUCAACCCUGGACAGUGUGGACAGCCAGGCCCGAUUCGAUUGUAAGAAACUAGUCGAUGGUACAGCGCAAUGGAGGCAUGAGCGAAACAACAAUUAUGUUGACAAUCCAGCUGGUUUUGGUGUAAAUCUAAGGAAUUAUUUACUUUGACACUAUCUCCCUGCUCUCAAUGAAAGCUUGUUUUGUUUUGUUUUUUGGAACUAAGACUAGGUUACAGCUCAUGAUCUUAUAUGCACAACAUGUUGGACCCAAGCCCAAGAUACAACACAAAUGCAUCUACUUCAAAUCUUAGCAGAAAAUGUGUGCUUUGCAGUAGAACACUAGAGCCUAGAACACGUUCACAUCAGCUCAUGUCCCUGAGAACUAACACUCAACAUCAUAUUAACAUCAGGAACAUAAUUGUGGAACGACUAACUCCAUUAGAGGUUACUGCAAAUGACUACAUCUGUGGGGCUUGUCACUCAUUAUUGCAAAGAGAUACCACACCUACUUCACAAGACUCUCCAGAUA
Molecule: long non-coding RNA, 595 nt
Organism: Ostrinia nubilalis (European corn borer)
Lineage: Eukaryota; Metazoa; Arthropoda; Insecta; Lepidoptera; Crambidae
Exons: 3
Source: RefSeq, a predicted model, not a curated record